GAUGAACGCUGGCGGCGUGCCUAAUACAUGCAAGUCGAGCGAACAGACGAGGACCUUGCUCUUCUGACGUUAGCGGCGGACGGGAGUGUAACACGUGGAUAACCUACCUAUAAGACUGGGAUAAAUUCGGGAAACUGGAGAUAAUACCGGAUAAUAUAUUGUACCGCAUGGUUCAAUAGUGAAAGACGGUUUUGCUGUCACUUUUAGAUGCUUCCGUGUCGCAUUAGCUAGUUGGUAAGGUAACGGCUUACCAAGGCAACGAUGAGUAGCCGACCUGAGAGGGGGAUCGGCCACACUGGAACGGAGACACGGCCCAGACUCCUACGGGAGGCAGCGGUAGGGAAUCUUCCGCAAUGGGCGAAAGCCUGACGGAGCAACGCCGCGUGAGUGAUGAAGGUCUUCGGAUCGUAAAACUCUGUGAUUAGGGAAGAACAAAUGUGUAAGUAACUAUGCACGUCGUGACGGUACCUAAUCAGAAAGCCACGGCUAACUACGUG
Molecule: ribosomal RNA, 497 nt
Filed under: uncultured bacterium
Lineage: Bacteria
Description: partial 16S ribosomal RNA
Rfam family: Bacterial small subunit ribosomal RNA
Source: RNAcentral